Molecule: ribosomal RNA, 468 nt
Filed under: uncultured bacterium
Lineage: Bacteria
Description: partial 16S ribosomal RNA
Rfam family: Bacterial small subunit ribosomal RNA
Source: RNAcentral
GACGAACGCUGGCGGCGUGCUUAACACAUGCAAGUCGAACGGAAAGGCCCUGCUUUUGUGGGGUGCUCGAGUGGCGAACGGGUGAGUAACACGUGAGUAACCUGCCCUUGACUUUGUGAUAACUUCAGGAAACUGGGGCUAAUACCGGAUAGGAGCUCCUGCUGCAUGGUGGUGGUUGGAAAGUUUCGGCGGUUGGGGAUGGACUCGCGGCUUAUCAGCUUGUUGGUGGGGUAGUGGCUUACCAAGGCUUUGACGGGUAGCCGGCCUGAGAGGGUGACCGGCCACAUGGGGACUGAGAUACGGACCAGAAUCCUACGGGAGGCAGCAGUGGGGAAUAUUGCACAAUGGGCGGAAGCCUGAUGCAGCAACGCCGCGUGCGGGAUAACGGCCUUCGGGUUGUAAACCGCUUUCGCCUGUGACGAAGCGUGAGUGACGGUAAUGGGUAAAGAAGCACCGGCUAACUACGUG